MicroRNA precursor from Microtus ochrogaster (prairie vole), 100 nucleotides. Ensembl annotates it as microRNA 744. Its record names the gene Mir744. The record is from Ensembl. NCBI's taxonomy places the organism in Eukaryota, Metazoa, Chordata, Mammalia, Rodentia, Cricetidae.
GGCUGGGCAAGGUGCGGGGCUAGGGCUAACAGCAGUCAUACUGAAGGUUUCCUGGAAACCACACACAUGCUGUUGCCACUAACCUCAACCUUACUCGGUC